CAAAACAUAGCUUAACCAAAAGCAUUCAGCUUACACCUGAAAGAUUGUCCAUUAAAACAGGACUAUUUUGA
Molecule: non-coding RNA, 71 nt
Organism: Gopherus evgoodei (Goodes thornscrub tortoise)
Lineage: Eukaryota; Metazoa; Chordata; Testudines; Testudinidae
Source: the annotation of a RefSeq genome assembly